CCCUUAGAUGUUCUGGGCCGCACGCGUGCUACACUGAGUGGAUCAGCGGGUCAGGUUGCGCGAAAGUGUUUCCUAAUCUUGAAAUCCGCUCGUGAUGGGGAUUGACGGUUGCAAUUUUCCGUCAUGAACGAGGAAUACCUUGUAAGCGCGGGUCAUCAUCCCGCGCUGAAUACGUCCCUGCCCUUUGUACACACCGCCCGCCGCUCCUACCGAUUGAGUGGUCCGGUGAGGCUUUGGGAUCUGAGCGGAAAGAGCGUUUCGCUGUUUCUGCCCGGAAAACUCAGUCGAACCUUAUCAUUUAGAGGAAGGAGAAGUCGUAACA
Molecule: ribosomal RNA, 322 nt
Filed under: uncultured eukaryote
Lineage: Eukaryota
Description: partial 18S ribosomal RNA
Rfam family: Eukaryotic small subunit ribosomal RNA
Source: RNAcentral